This 270-nucleotide ribosomal RNA is filed under the name uncultured archaeon. RNAcentral describes it as "partial 16S ribosomal RNA". It matches the Rfam family "Archaeal small subunit ribosomal RNA", at positions 477 to 747 of the family's 1478-position model. The record is from RNAcentral.
CAGCACCUCAAGUGGUCAGGAUGAUUAUUGGGCCUAAAGCAUCCGUAGCCGGCGCUGUAAGUUUUCGGUUAAAUCUGUACGCUCAACGUACAGGCUGCCGGGAAUACUGCAGCGCUAGGGAGUGGGAGAGGUAGACGGUACUCGGUAGGAAGGGGUAAAAUCCUUUGAUCUAUUGACGACCACCUGUGGCGAAGGCGGUCUACCAGAACACGUCCGACGGUGAGGGAUGAAAGCUGGGGGAGCAAACCGGAUUAGAUACCCGAGUAGUCC